This 458-nucleotide long non-coding RNA is filed under the name Rhinopithecus bieti (black snub-nosed monkey). RNAcentral's name for it is "lncRNA (ENSRBIG00000046568.1)". The record is from RNAcentral. Lineage: Eukaryota; Metazoa; Chordata; Mammalia; Primates; Cercopithecidae.
GUUUGUAGAUCCACCACAGCAUAUUUUAAACUACAGCUCACUGUACCAGGUUGGGGAAUGCCAUGAAGUCUACAGCCCUGGCAUUGACUGGGACCUCUUGUUCCUCAUUUUCAGAAGUGAUAGGCAAAGCUGGUGCUUCCUGCAGAAGGCAGGAGGGAAUGGGAGUGCUGCCCAUCCUCAUGCCCUCAAAACCUACCCAGUGGGUCAGUCAAGGUGCAGCUACUAGGGGUUCCACCUUUCAUAUUCCUAUUGUCUUGAGCUCAUUCUUGGCCAGACCCGGAAGAUGAAGUCACAGAUGCAAGUACCGAAUUGGAGGUUUAAGCUCUUAGCCCCCUCACCGAAGAUCAACAUGGCAGAGGGAACCAGUAAUGGACAUGAGUCGUAGUAAGGUAACUGCAAAAAGGAGGAAGUGUUUUCUUACUCAUUUUGUUUCAAGCUGCCUAACUCUUUAAAAAAUG